Manihot esculenta (cassava) is the source of this 849-nucleotide long non-coding RNA. RefSeq lists it as uncharacterized. The record is from RefSeq and is a predicted model, not a curated record. The transcript has 2 exons. Lineage: Eukaryota; Viridiplantae; Streptophyta; Magnoliopsida; Malpighiales; Euphorbiaceae.
UGUGUCCCACACCAACUCACCUUACAGCUUUUUAUUACCCUAAAUUUGUGUGCUAUGUUUCAGCUUUUCCAAUCGUGUUCAUUUAGGAUUUAUGAAAUAUUAAAUUUUUUAGGGUUUGUCAUUCUUUAUAAUACCAUCUUCAAAAAUGAAAUUACUUGUCAGUUGAAUUGGGGGUUAAAGUUGAAGUUGAAGGGUGUGCCAACAGCAACUGGCAGGAUUAAUUGAGCAGCAGAAAGUCAAAAGUUGUUUAUAGGUAAGAUUUUGCUGAUGGUGGAUUAUCUCAUGAUGAAGCCUGCAAUUAGUCAUCAGGUGGACACACUUCAUUCCCUCUAGUGAUUCAAUCCCUUUAGUGCUAACUCUUUUAUGCAUAACUAUCACAUAUUGUCGGUAUUCUUUCCGGUUAAUGUUGUCGGUAAAUAUGGAAGCCUUGAGUCUGCAUGGGGAAGCUUCAGGUCUGUGUAGAGAGAUGGGUCUAUCUGAGAUGCUAUUGGAUAUGCAGUGUCGGAUUUGAUUGCUGAUUGAAGGUUUUUUCACCGGUUGUUUUGCCCCGCGUUUGCUUCGCCUAUUCUCUUUUUCGAUUGCUGCAUGUUGGAUUUGAAUGGUUUUAAAUUUGUGCGGUCGGUCACUGUACUCUUCGAAAUCUUCUUCAAGUAUGAGUAAUGGGCAUCUUCAGCAUUGUCAGCCCAUCUGAACAUAGGCCCAUUUUGUUUUAGCAUUAGCACCAGCAAGCAAAGAAGAUCCACUUGCUUAUAGUCAUGGCCUAUUCAUGAUUACCCUUGGCCCAAAGCUAAGGCUCCUUUUAUUGUUUUCUCAUCCGUUAAUAUUAAAUGAUGUGGGCAACUUCAUCAA